RNAcentral lists this long non-coding RNA (232 nucleotides) under Capsicum annuum. RNAcentral describes it as "long non-coding RNA (CANN_LNC001825)". Lineage: Eukaryota; Viridiplantae; Streptophyta; Magnoliopsida; Solanales; Solanaceae. The record is from RNAcentral.
GAAAAUAAACGCAAAAGAUAAAAUAAAAAAAAUAUAAAUAAAUCUUUUUUUUUUUUGAAUUUUUGGGUUGUGAAGAACAAAAGCGAUAAAGAACUCUAAAAAUAAACUACAAAACUCUUUUUUUGAUUCACCUUUUUUUUUUUUUUUGAUUUUUCAUUGCCUACACACUUUACUUCCAACACAUGUUUUUCCCCAAAUCCGUCUGUCAAAUGACCACGUUACCUUUAGAGAU